UACGUAGGGGGCGAGCGUUAUCCGGAAUUAUUGGGCGUAAAGGGUUCGCAGGUGGUCCUUUAAGUCAGGUGUGAAAGGCAGUGGCUCAACCAUUGCAAGCACCUGAAACUGAAGGACUUGAGUACAGGAGAGGAAAGCGGAAUUCCUAGUGUAGCGGUGAAAUGCGUAGAUAUUAGGAGGAACACCAGUGGCGAAGGCGGCUUUCUGGACUGAAACUGACACUGAGGAACGAAAGCGUGGGGAGCAAACAGGAUUAGAUACCCUGGUAGUCCCUGA
Molecule: ribosomal RNA, 276 nt
Filed under: uncultured prokaryote
Description: partial 16S ribosomal RNA
Rfam family: Bacterial small subunit ribosomal RNA
Source: RNAcentral